Molecule: long non-coding RNA, 1210 nt
Filed under: Lathyrus oleraceus (garden pea)
Lineage: Eukaryota; Viridiplantae; Streptophyta; Magnoliopsida; Fabales; Fabaceae
Description: Pisum sativum (pea) long non-coding RNA (PSAT_LNC036349)
Source: RNAcentral
GAUUGCGCUUCCCGAGGUCGUUCUCAUUUUUCGAGGUAUGACACUAACCAAUUAAACAAAUAAUCAAUCAACUAAUUGAAUUGAAAAAAUAAGAAUAAUAAAAGAAAAUGGAACCAUAAUUAACAUAGUUAAUAAGGAGGAGGGGUGCAAACAUAAAGAGAAUAAUAUGGCAAUAGUAAAUCAAGAGACAAAGGGCCCAAGUCCCAAAACAAGAACUAAACCUAAAUCUAUUGUUAAUAACAAUAAUUAAAAAAGGAAAGAAAAUAGAAAAAAUAGAGAGGAUGAAGGCGGCUUCCAUGCUGUAACACCUCCAUUUUCUUUUUGAAAAAAACAACAUGGCCUAUGGUGUAAUGGCACGUGGAUCUUGUUUAAUAAUUAAAAACUAAGACAAAGUUCUUCUCCCUACGUUUGAAAAGUGGCAGACAAAAGAAAAGUUGCUUCUAUAAAUCUCGUGCCCUCUCUCUUUCUUUCUCUUUGCACCCCUAAAACACAAACUAAUUUCUUUUAACAAAAUAAUGAAAUCAAAGCAAACACCAAUAUUGGAUUUAGAAACUUGUGAAGAAACAAGGAAACUCAUAGCAACAAUCUAACAAAACAAUGAAAAAAUAUGCAAAGGGGUACCAAAAAAAGGCGAGCGGUAUCAGUCAGUGUGCGGUCCAGAGUUGUUUAUGAGAGGUUGAUGUUAUUUCUUGUUUUAGUUGAGAAGUUUAUUGAUGGUAUAGGUAGUGGUCUAAAAAUGGUGUACAUGGUGGCAAAACGGUUUGUGAAAAUGAAGAAAAAUAUGGGGUUGUGUUGUUGUUUUGUGUGAGAUGAGUGAAGAUGAUAUGGUGUUAACAAGGUUACUGUUAGAGAAAAUGAAAAUUAAAAAUAUGUGUUUGAGUGGGAGUUUAUAGUUGUUGUAUGAUUAUGGUUUAUGUGUAUUAUGGAGUUAUAUGGUGUGGAAGUUGUAUAGAGCUUGUGGUUUUCAUGUUGGAUGCAGAAGAAAGAAGGAGAUGAAGGUGUGAGUUGAAGUUUGCAGAUCGUGUGGUAAGGUUUGUUGGAAGUUUUACGAUUAGUAUAGUGGUUACUAGUUGUAGUAUGGUGAAGUAUGCAGCCGUGAAAAUUGUUGCAGAAGGUGGUUAUGGUGUUAUGCUAUUAUCAUGAAGAAGGAAUAAGAUGGAAAAUAAAAUAUGAGGUUAUGUUCUCAAUGUGAAUGAAAGAGGGAGUGUUU